Molecule: non-coding RNA, 1689 nt
Organism: Macaca mulatta (Rhesus monkey)
Lineage: Eukaryota; Metazoa; Chordata; Mammalia; Primates; Cercopithecidae
Source: Rfam
AUUCUGGUGCAGUAGAUAUAGUACCGUAAGGGAACAAUGAAAGAACUAUAUCAAGCACCAAAAAGCAAAGACAAACCCUUGCAUCUUUUGAAUAAUGAAUUAACUAGAAAAAACUUCACACAGAGAGUUCUAGCCAAGUCCCCCGAAUAGACGAGCUUCUCAAGAACAGCUAGAAGAGUACACUCAUCUAAUGUAACAAAAUAGUGAGAAGAUCCAUGAGUAGCAGUGACAAGCCUACCGAGGCUGGUGAUAGCUGAUCGUCCAAGAUAGAAUUGUAGUUCAACUUUAAACUUACCUGCAGAAUUACUUAUUCCGCCUGUAAGUUUAACUGUUAAAGAGGGACAGCUCUUUAGAUAUUAGACAAUAACCGUCCUAUAGAGAGUAACAGAUUUUACCACCGUAGUCGGCCUAAAAGCAGCCACCAAUUAAGGAAGCGUUUAAGCUCAACAUCUGACUACCUUCAUUUCUAAUCACCCUGUUGAACUCCUCAUAUUACAUUGGACUAAUCUAUUAUUCAGUAGAAGCAAUAAUGUUAGUAUAAGUAACAUUAAGACAUUCUCCAUUGCAUAAGCUUACAUUAGACCGGAAUAAUUCACUAACAGUUAACAACCUAAUAUUAACAAAUGAUUAAUAGACAUCUUAUUAUCUUUAUUUUAACCCAACUCAGGCAUGCUCUAAGGAAAGGUUACAAAAAGUAAAAGAAACUCGGCAAAUUUCACCCCGUCUGUUUACCAAAAACAUCACCCCUAGCAUUGCUAGUAUUAGAGGCACUGCCUGCUCAGUUCCAUAUGUUUAAGGGUCAUGGUAUCCUGAACUUGCAAAGGUAGUAUAAUCAAAUAGGGACUUGUAUGAAUGGCCACAAUGGGGUUUAGUUGUCUCUUACUUUCAACCAGUGAAAUUGAACUACCUAUUAAGAGGCAUGUAUAAAUAAGUAAGACAAGAAGACCCUAUGGAACUUUAAUUCAUUAAGGCAAAUAAAGAUUCAAACAAGCCAACAGGCUCCAAUGUAUCAUCCCUGCAUUAAAAAUUUUGGUUGGGGUGGCCGGGCGCAGUGGCUCACGCCUGUAAUCUCAGCACUUUGGGAGGCCGAGGCAGGUGGAUCACGAGGUCAGGAGAUCGAGACCAUCCUGGCUAACAUAGUGAAACCCCAUCUGUACUAAAAAAAUACAAAAAAUUAGCCGGGUGUGGUGGCGGGCACCUGUAGUCCCAGCUACUCGGGAGGCUGAGGCAGGAGAAUGGCAUGAACCUGGGAGACAGAGCUUGCAGUGAGCCGAGAUUGUGCCACUGUACUCCAGCCUAGGCAACAGAGUGAGACUCACACACACACAGACACACACACACACAAAUUUGGUUGAGGUGAACUUGGAACGUAAUUCAACCUCCGAAACAACUUAAACUAAGAUCGCACUAGUGUGAGUUAUUACACAUUGACCCAAUAAUUCGAUCAACAGGAUCAGUGACCCUAGGGAUAAGAGUGCAAUCCUAUUCUAGAGUCCAUAUCAACAAUAGGGUUUACGACCCCGAUGUUGGAUCAGGACAUCCUAAAUGGUGUAGCCGCUAUUAAGGGUUCAUUUGUUCAACGAUUAAAGUCCUUCCUGAUCUGAGUUAAGACCAGAGCAAUCCAGGUCAGUUUCUAUUUAGCAUUAAAUAGGGCCCACUUCACAAAGUGUCCUUACAAGACUAGGAUUU